GAUGAACGCUGGCGGCGUGCCUAAUACAUGCAAGUCGAGCGAACGGACGAGAAGCUUGCUUUUCUGAUGUUAGCGGCGGACGGGUGAGUAACACGUGGAUAACCUACCUAUAAGACUGGGAUAACUUCGGGAAACCGGAGCUAAUACCGGAUAAUAUUUUGAACCGCAUUGUUCAAAAGUGAAAGACGGUCUUGCUGUCACUUAUAGCUGGAUCCGCGCUGCAUUAGCUAGUUGGUAAGGUAACGGCUUACCAAGGCAACGAUGCAUAGCCGACCUGAGAGAGUGAUCGGCCACACUGGAACUGAGACACGGUCCAGACUCCUACGGGAGGCAGCAGUAGGGAAUCUUCCGCAAUGGGCGAAAGCCUGACGGAGCAACGCCGCGUGAGUGAUGAAGGUCUUCGGAUCGUAAAACUCUGUUAUUAGGGAAGAACAUAUGUGUAAGUAACUGUGCACAUCUUGACGGUACCUAAUCAGAAAGCCACGGCUAACUACGUG
Molecule: ribosomal RNA, 497 nt
Filed under: uncultured bacterium
Lineage: Bacteria
Description: partial 16S ribosomal RNA
Rfam family: Bacterial small subunit ribosomal RNA
Source: RNAcentral